RNAcentral lists this ribosomal RNA (439 nucleotides) under uncultured bacterium. RNAcentral describes it as "partial 16S ribosomal RNA". It matches the Rfam family "Bacterial small subunit ribosomal RNA", at positions 339 to 795 of the family's 1533-position model. The record is from RNAcentral.
CUACGGGGCGCAGCAGUGAGGAAUAUUGCACAAUGGGGGGAACCCUGAUGCAGCAACGCCGCGUGGAGGAUGACGCAUUUCGGUGUGUAAACUCCUUUUAUAUGUCAAGAAAAUGACGGUAGCAUAUGAAUAAGCACCGGCUAACUCCGUGCCAGCAGCCGCGGUAAUACGGAGGGUGCAAGCGUUACUCGGAAUCACUGGGCGUAAAGGACGCGUAGGCGGGUUGGAAAGUCAGGUGUGAAAUCCUACAGCUUAACUGUAGAACUGCACUUGAAACUUCUAAUCUAGAGUAGGGGAGGGGGAGAUGGAAUUAGUGGUGUAGGGGUAAAAUCCGUAGACAUCACUAGGAAUACCUAAAGCGAAGGCGAUCUCCUGGAACAUUACUGACGCUAAGGCGUGAAAGCGUGGGGAGCAAACAGGAUUAGAUACCCUCGUAGUC